UGCAGUCGAGCGGACAGAUGGGAGCUUGCUCCCUGAUGUUAGCGGCGGACGGGUGAGUAACACGUGGGUAACCUGCCUGUAAGACUGGGAUAACUCCGGGAAACCGGGGCUAAUACCGGAUGCUUGUUUGAACCGCAUGGUUCAAACAUAAAAGGUGGCUUCGGCUACCACUUACAGAUGGACCCGCGGCGCAUUAGCUAGUUGGUGAGGUAAUGGCUCACCAAGGCAACGAUGCGUAGCCGACCUGAGAGGGUGAUCGGCCACACUGGGACUGAGACACGGCCCAGACUCCUACGGGAGGCAGCAGUAGGGAAUCUUCCGCAAUGGACGAAAGUCUGACGGAGCAACGCCGCGUGAGUGAUGAAGGUUUUCGGAUCGUAAAGCUCUGUUGUUAGGGAAGAACAAGUACCGUUCGAAUAGGGCGGUACCUUGACGGUACCUAACCAGAAAGCCACGGCUAACUACGUGCCAGCAGCCGCGGUAAUACGUAGGUGGCAAGCGUUGUCCGGAAUUAUUGGGCGUAAAGGGCUCGCAGGCGGUUUCUUAAGUCUGAUGUGAAAGCCCCCGGCUCAACCGGGGAGGGUCAUUGGAAACUGGGGAACUUGAGUGCAGAAGAGGAGAGUGGAAUUCCACGUGUAGCGGUGAAAUGCGUAGAGAUGUGGAGGAACACCAGUGGCGAAGGCGACUCUCUGGUCUGUAACUGACGCUGAGGAGUCGAAACGUGGGGAGCGAACAGGAUUAGAUACCCUGGUAGUCCACGCCGUAAACGAUGAGUGCUAAGUGUUAAGGGGGUUUCCGCCCCUUAGUGCUGC
RNAcentral lists this ribosomal RNA (812 nucleotides) under Bacillus tequilensis. RNAcentral's name for it is "bacterial SSU rRNA". It matches the Rfam family "Bacterial small subunit ribosomal RNA", at positions 56 to 849 of the family's 1533-position model. The record is from RNAcentral. Lineage: Bacteria; Bacillati; Bacillota; Bacilli; Caryophanales; Bacillaceae.